AGUUACUUCUUUAAGAAAAGAAGUCUUUAUUUCAAUUACAAAAAAGGUUCUGGGGCAGGAGUUCAUCCGAUGGACAGUUCUCCAGAUCUGAGAGAUAUUAAUGUAGGCCGGCAUACAGAUCCUCUCUAUCAAAGAGAAAGUGGUAUCUUGGUGGCUCCUGUCCCAGGAACUACAAAAAAAAAAAAAAAAAAAAACCAUGAGCUCUUCACCAGAUGACUCUGACCUUAAUCUACCGAGAACUGGCCAGAUUCACCUUGAUGGAGGACCUCGGCGCACCUCACCGGACGACGACCAUCAUAAUCUGUGCUUGGGCUGGAUGGGAAGAUGUGGAGAUUACAAAAAUAAACUAGUAACCUCGAAACGUAUAAUUCAGAAA
Molecule: long non-coding RNA, 376 nt
Organism: Carassius auratus (goldfish)
Lineage: Eukaryota; Metazoa; Chordata; Actinopteri; Cypriniformes; Cyprinidae
Exons: 3
Source: RefSeq, a predicted model, not a curated record